GCUUAACACAUGCAAGUCGAGCGGUAAGGCCCUUCGGGGUACACGAGCGGCGAACGGGUGAGUAACACGUGGGUGAUCUACCCUGUACUUCGGGAUAAGCCUGGGAAACUGGGUCUAAUACCGGAUAUGACCUUCCGAUGCAUGUCGGUGGGUGGAAAGAUUUAUCGGUACAGGAUGGGCCCGCGGCCUAUCAGCUUGUUGGUGGGGUAAUGGCCUACCAAGGCGACGACGGGUAGCCGGCCUGAGAGGGCGACCGGCCACACUGGGACUGAGACACGGCCCAAACUCCUACGGGAGGCAGCAGUGGGGAAUAUUGCACAAUGGGCGAAAGCCUGAUGCAGCGACGCCGCGUGAGGGAUGACGGCCUUCGGGUUGUAAACCUCUUUCGACAGGGACGAAGCGCAAGUGACGGUACCUGUAGAAGAAGCACCGGCCAACUACGUGCCAGCAGCCGCGGUAAUACGUAGGGUGCGAGCGUUGUCCGGAAUUACUGGGCGUAAAGAGCUUGUAGGCGGUUUGUCGCGUCGUCCGUGAAAACUUGGGGCUCAACCCCAAGCUUGCGGGCGAUACGGGCAGACUUGAGUACUGCAGGGGAGACUGGAAUUC
This 606-nucleotide ribosomal RNA is filed under the name Nocardia shimofusensis. Its description in RNAcentral is "bacterial SSU rRNA". It matches the Rfam family "Bacterial small subunit ribosomal RNA", at positions 46 to 669 of the family's 1533-position model. Lineage: Bacteria; Bacillati; Actinomycetota; Actinomycetes; Mycobacteriales; Nocardiaceae. The record is from RNAcentral.